Long non-coding RNA from Gasterosteus aculeatus aculeatus (three-spined stickleback), 1442 nucleotides. NCBI's taxonomy places the organism in Eukaryota, Metazoa, Chordata, Actinopteri, Perciformes, Gasterosteidae. The record is from Ensembl.
AUAUAUAUAUAGAUAUAUAUAUACCGUGUAUAAUAUUUGUAUACAGAUAUUUCUAUAUUAUUUAUGUCAAUAUAUAUGUAUAUUCUGUCCCAAAGAAAAAAAUAUGGAUAAAUAGAAUUCAAAAGACUGCUGCAGUGAUAAUGCUUCGCUUCCUAACCAUGUUUUGGUCUUUAUAAAUGGGAGGUCUAAUCAUUUGCAAUUACCUACCCCCUAAAAUCCUUUGGCAUCUUUGCUCUUGUUUACCUUUAAGUUCUCUAACCAGGCAACAUGACAUCUCAUUUUAACCUCCUAAUUUUAACCUCCUAAUUGCCUAAACCGAACCAGUCCUCCUAAGUCCAGGACUGGUUCGCCUCCAUCCCGACAGCCACGCAAUGGAAAUGACAACUUUUCCAAAAUUCCUCACGGUCACAGAUCCGAAUAUUUGUCCAUCUAAAUUUGUGUGGGCCUAUUUGCCUUGUACAAUGAUGUAUACAUGAGCAUGUUUGUGAUGUUGCAUUAAAAUACCAAUGAUAAUAUCAUGUAUAACAUGAACAUAUAAUGAACUAAUAAAGAGGUUAAGUUACAUCUCUGUUCAAAUAUCUCUAAUGAUCAUUACCUAAAGUCAUUAUGUUCCAAGACCGAUUGUUGCAAUGUCUAACACAUCUGUUUUAGGCUUAACAACACGGGCAAAAAUGGGCAACCGUUAUUAAACUCAUCAGCCAUGUCGUUAUCCAACAUCUCUAGUGAGGGGAGCUGGGCGACACUGGUCGGGGGGUUUGCAUGAUGCACCCAUGGUCAUGUGACAAAGAUGGCCGUUGUUACUACAAAGCUCUUGUUUGAAAGAAUAAAAGAGGGUUUGUGGUCGGAUUGGUUUCUCCCCCAGCUGCAGGUUGGUGGAGCAUUACAUAAGCAUCACAUGACUGAAUUGGGCAGUGAACAUAUAGAUCGGUACGGGGUCCAACACACAGUAGUCCGGUAUCUCUUCUGCCUCUUUUCAUUAACAGAUACCUUUUACACUACACGCGUCCCCCUAAAUGCCGAUUUAGUUCUAGCUGAUUAAUUAAGAUACUCUGAAUUAUCUUGCUUCUUGACUGAUAAAUGACACCACAGGAAUUCGGUUUGAGUGUGGAAUGCUGCACGGCUGUGUGUUUGUCCUGCUUAUGCAUUGACAUGUGAGAGAUCCUGGUAUGCAGCAAAGCCUGUUUCAAGUUGAGUGUUAACAGACUGCCAAAAUCCUCUGCAAGCAAAUAAACGUAGGAAACCAGACUAUGAUGACAUUUCACAAUAUGGAGGUAUGGAGACUGAAACGUGUGUGAAUCACAGCUUACAUUUCUGUAACUGUAAAUUUUGCUACGGUGUCAUAUUAUUUGAUAUGAGGGUAAUCACGCUAGAUAAUUAUUCAUAUUAUAGGGAUAUGGGAUAACAUAGAGAGGAGCGGAAAAACUUGUUUUAUGCCUCGUAAU